CCUACGGGUGGCAGCAGUGGGGAAUAUUGCACAAUGGGCGAAAGCCUGAUGCAGCAACGCCGCGUGAAGGAAGAAGGGUUUCGGCUCGUAAACUUCUAUCAACAGGGACGAAAGAAAUGACGGUACCUGAAUAAGAAGCCCCGGCGAACUACGUGCCAGCAGCCGCGGUAAUACGUAGGGGGCAAGCGUUAUCCGGAUUUACUGGGUGUAAAGGGCGUGCAGCCGGAGAGGCAAGUCAGAUGUGAAAUCCGCGGGCUCAACUCGCGAACUGCAUUUGAAACUGCUUCCCUUGAGUAUCGGAGAGGUAAUCGGAAUUCCUAGUGUAGCGGUGAAAUGCGUAGAUAUUAGGAAGAACACCAGUGGCGAAGGCGGAUUACUGGACGACAACUGACGGUGAGGCGCGAAAGCGUGGGGAGCAAACAGGAUUAGAUACCCUGGUAGUC
Molecule: ribosomal RNA, 443 nt
Filed under: uncultured bacterium
Lineage: Bacteria
Description: partial 16S ribosomal RNA
Rfam family: Bacterial small subunit ribosomal RNA
Source: RNAcentral